UCAAAGACACUUGCAGGCGACAUAUCGGGAGUACACCCAGGAAGUAGGUAAAAUGGAUUAUCACACCAGAAAAUAGUCGGAAGAGUAAAUGGAUUAUUGUUCUGGAUUCUGGCAUUGUUGCUUUGAAUUGUGUUACGUCCAAUGUGAUGUAUUCUAUAUAAUCCACGCUCAAUUUUACGUGUUUUGUGUUGAUUAAUCGAGAACAAGGCCACUGGUGUAGACAAAGAUCUACAUUACUUUGGAAUGAUUGAAGGAAGAAAUUACCGAUCUCUACAGACUUAGCAAGAAAACUUACAACUAAACUCGCGACAAUGAGCAGUUUCUGAGAGAACGCGUUUUAUGUGCAUUCAACUGAACAGGGCUUUGUACAAAUGGCCGCUGCUAGGCAACGAUCUGCAUUAUUUGGGAAAAUUUCGAAUUAUUCAGAUUCGGAACUGCCCACUCAAUUCAUCAUAUUCUAGUUGAAGUUAUGAAUAUGGGAUGGAAACCCGAGAUUUUAAUCGGUGUACACUUCUGUCAACUGGGUUAUUGUACAUCUGCCAAGCGUGAGGAAUGCGCUUCCCAUCUUUCCAGUUUGGCCUAGGCAAAUCAAUUUAUUAGUGAACCAUGGUGAAAUUGUUGGCAUGGAUUCUGAACCUAAGCUUUCAAGGUGACAUGUUUUAUCAUAGUUUGAAACGCGAAAACAUUUUUGCCAAAUUUUAUAGGCAUUGCAGGUAUACCCAUUUAAUCGAUGUUCAAUCGAUGUUGCGUGAGCAAUGCGCUUAAAAUGUUUCAAGUUCGGCAUAGCCAAAUCAAUUUGUUACAACCUUGGUAAAGCUGUUUGUAUGUAUUUUGAACUUAAGAUUUCAAGCUGACAUGCCAUCAUAGCGAAAGCCAAAUUUAGUAGACAUUGCAGGUAGGCAUUUAAUCAAUGUUGCGUGCGAGCAAUGCAUCUUUUAGGUUCGGCCUAGCCAAAGCAAUUUAUUCCAACUUUGGUAAAGCUGUUGGCGUGUAUUUCAAACCUAACAAAUCAAGCUGACAUGUUAUCAUAGUUUAAUUAAAACGCAAAACGUUUCAGCCAAAUUUGGGAGGCAUUGCUCAGGCCAUGUGCGUAAAUAUAGCUAAUUGAUUGAACGCUUUUGCGUGAAAAUGUUUAAUGUUUCAAUGGAGAAAUGUGCUUUGCAAUAAACGUAAUGUUCAAAGUAAGAAGAAUGGUUUAAAUAGAAGAAUUCGCAAAAUUGAGUUUGUAGUUUCUGAGAAAAACGCUGUAUGAUUUGUAUACAAUUUCGAUCCUUCUACCAAUUUGCUAAUAUUGAACACAAAAUGUUUGUUGGGUCUGUUGUAAAAUUGUUGUUGUUGACGUAUAUAGGUUUUAGCUGUUUAAAAAUGAUUCUACGUCCUAUGACACUGGGUACAACUAUUUUAACAUUCCAUAUGACAUUCGGUACUUUUUUCAUCAUUUAGCAGGAAUUUUUAUGAUUUUCAUAGUGCUUUGUUGACAAAAUAAGUUUCGCUUUAUGAAUUUGCUAAUAUGGUACACCAAAUGGUAUUUUGAUAAUUUUGAAAAAUUGUUGUCGUUGAUGUGUAUAUUUCUAGCUGUUAAAAAUGAUUCUACGUCAUAUGACACUCGGUACAGCUAUUUUACCAUUUGCAAUAAUGCUUUGUUAGCAAAAAUAUGUUUGGUCGUUUUGUAAAAAUAUUGUUGUUGUUGAAGUAUUUAGGUGCUUGUUGUUGUUGUUGAAAAUUAAUGCCUAAUUAGAUUCACAUUUACAGUAAUUGAAAAUGAAAGUAGCAACUAUAGGGCUUUAAAUUUUUUUUAUUUUAAAUCACCCGAGUCCUAAAGAGG
Molecule: long non-coding RNA, 1825 nt
Organism: Styela clava
Lineage: Eukaryota; Metazoa; Chordata; Ascidiacea; Stolidobranchia; Styelidae
Source: RefSeq, a predicted model, not a curated record